This 1894-nucleotide long non-coding RNA is filed under the name Calidris pugnax (ruff). Its description in RNAcentral is "lncRNA (ENSCPUG00000001241.1)". Lineage: Eukaryota; Metazoa; Chordata; Aves; Charadriiformes; Scolopacidae. The record is from RNAcentral.
AUGGGAUGGAGAUGAUGAUGGGAAUGAAGACGGGAAAGAGGAUGGCGACAAGGAUAGUGAUGAAGAUGAGGAUGAGGAUGGGGAUGAGGGGUGAGGAUGGGAUGGGGAUGAGGAAGACAAUGAGGAUGGGGAUGAGGAUGGAGAUGAGGAUGAGGACAGGGAUGAAGAUGAGGACAGGGAUGAGGACAAGGGUGGAAAUGAGGAUGGGGUUCAGGAUGGGGAUAAGGAUGAGGAUGGGGACAGGGAUGGGGAUGAAGGUAGGGAUGGGGAUGGGGCUGAGGGUGAGGAUGGGAUGGGGAUGAGGAAGACAAUGGGGAUGGGAACAAGGAUGAGGACAGGGAUGAGGAUGGGGACAGGAAUGAAGAUGAGGACAGGGAUGGGGGGACAAGGAUGGAGAUGAGGAUGGGGUUCAGGAUGGGGGUGGGGAUGAAGAUAGGGAUGGGAAUGGGUGGGGAUGAGGAUGAGGAUGGGAUGGGAUGGAGAUGAUGAUGGGAAUGAAGACGGGAAAGAGGAUGGCGACAAGGAUAGUGAUGAAGAUGAGGAUGAGGAUGGGGACAGGGAUGAGGAUGAAGACGGGGAUGGAGAUGAGGAUGGAGAUGGGGAUGAAGACAGGGGUGAAGAUGGGGAUGAGGAUGGGAAGGAGGAUUGGGUUGGGAAUGAGGACAUGGUUGAGGAUGAUGAUGGGGAUGAGGAUGACUAUGGGACUGGGAAUGAGGAUGAGGAUGGGGACAGGCUGUCAAGCUGGCAGGAAGGAGAGGUGCUACGCAGAGAUUGUUGUGGAGCAGGGCUUGGCUGUGAGAAGGGAAACUGAGGCACGGAGCACCUGGGGAGCAUCCCGCUCCCCAUCCUCAUCCUUCCUGAGGGACAGACGUAAAGAUGCUUUCCAGGGUGGUGAUCCCGGUGAUAAUGGCACAGGGGGCCUGGGGUGAGCAAAACCCCCACUUCCCCCCUGGUUUGGGGGUGAAAAACGGAAAACAGGGCAGGAAAUCAGGACUCCCCUUUUUGGGGGGGUUGUGUCACCCCCUGUCCCUCGCUGCCGUGGGUGAGGGGAGGUGGGGGAACUGGGGGGACCCCAAUAGCCCCUCACAGGGCACGGCAGUCAACCAGGGCUGGAUGUAAUCACUUCCAGGAGGACGGGGCUGAGCGAUCCCGCUGCAGGAAAAUGGAGGAUUGGGAUUUGCCAGCAGGAGCCGGGGGGAGGAAGGGGAGGGGAGGGGAAGGGAGGAUUUUCCGUCUGCGGCUUAAAAUUAAAAAAAUGUGGCCGUCACCAAAGCGAACCUUCCCCACGAGGUCGGGGCUGGCUGCCUCCAGGCUGGGAAUGCUGCGUCCCCAAGCCAAGCCCUGUCCCCAGGUCCUGUCCCCAAACCCUCAGGGCUGUUCCCCAUCCUCCUGGCAGGUCUCCCCGACUUGGUGCCCGACCCCAACUACGUGCAAGCGUCCACCUACGUGCAGAGAGCUCACCUGUACUCGCUGCGCUGCGCCGCCGAGGAGAAGUGUCUGGCCAGGUAGGAGCAGCCGUGGGGUGAGGGACAUGGGGACACAGGAUUUUCCGUCUGCGGCUUAAAAUUAAAAAAAUGUGGCCGUCACCAAAGCGAACCUUCCCCACGAGGUCGGGGCUGGCUGCCUCCAGGCUGGGAAUGCUGCGUCCCCAAGCCAAGCCCUGUCCCCAGGUCCUGUCCCCAAACCCUCAGGGCUGUUCCCCAUCCUCCUGGCAGGUCUCCCCGACUUGGUGCCCGACCCCAACUACGUGCAAGCGUCCACCUACGUGCAGAGAGCUCACCUGUACUCGCUGCGCUGCGCCGCCGAGGAGAAGUGUCUGGCCAGGUAGGAGCAGCCGUGGGGUGAGGGACAUGGGGACACGGGGAGAGAUGGGGGUCCUGGAGUGAGGGGAGAU